UACGGAGGAUCCGAGCGUUAUCCGGAUUUAUUGGGUUUAAAGGGUGCGUAGGCGGCCUGGUAAGUCAGGGGUGAAAGACGGUAGCUUAACUAUCGCAGUGCCCUUGAUACUGCUGGGCUUGAAUGUAGUUGAGGUAGGCGGAAUGUGACAAGUAGCGGUGAAAUGCAUAGAUAUAUGGAAGAACAUCAAUAACGGCGAAGGCAGUUAACUAUUCUGUUACUGACGUUGAGGCACGAAAGCGUGGGGAGCAAAACGG
This 256-nucleotide ribosomal RNA is filed under the name uncultured bacterium. Its description in RNAcentral is "partial 16S ribosomal RNA". It matches the Rfam family "Bacterial small subunit ribosomal RNA", at positions 524 to 776 of the family's 1533-position model. The record is from RNAcentral.